CGUACAGUAGCAGUUGAGGAACGAGGAGACGCACAUAAGCUGACAUCGACAAAACCAGGCCUUAUCCACACCCGAGAAGUGUCCUGCUUUUGUGAUUUUGCCUGUGGAUGCUUCAGUCCAAAAUAAUUUGACUUCCGAGUCAAUGUGGAGUCGGAAAAAGAGAAUGCUGAGCAAGUUUUGGAAGUGGGAAAGUGGGUCCUCGUACAAUAUGACGGAGAACUGUUCCCUGACACCAUCACACAGAUUGGUAAUUGUCAAUACGAGGCCGACACUAUGAGUUGUGCUGGAGUGAACACAUUUUUCAUUCCAUCCAUCAGAUUUGAGGGAGAAAAAGUCUG
Molecule: long non-coding RNA, 338 nt
Filed under: Salmo salar (Atlantic salmon)
Lineage: Eukaryota; Metazoa; Chordata; Actinopteri; Salmoniformes; Salmonidae
Description: lncRNA (ENSSSAG00000102675.1, ENSSSAG00075005747.1)
Source: RNAcentral